RNAcentral lists this long non-coding RNA (341 nucleotides) under Sorghum bicolor (sorghum). RNAcentral's name for it is "long non-coding RNA (SBIC_LNC004291)". Lineage: Eukaryota; Viridiplantae; Streptophyta; Magnoliopsida; Poales; Poaceae. The record is from RNAcentral.
GUGUUCGUCCUCUUGGAGCUGUGUUUUGUCCCGUUGCUCCUCCCACUGAUGAGUAGCAACAAGUGAACAAGCAAAAUGUUGUGCAGCUUUCACCAAAAGUGAGGUCCAUGCUUGCUGUAAUAUUCCUCCAUAAUGAAAAAGUAGCAGCGGUAGCAAAGCAAAAGUACCUUCGCCUUUCGUUGAAUUAUUACUGUCAACAGGUCCGUUUGUUUGUCACCACCCCACCACACCUGCAAUCCAGUUUGCUGCUACAUUAGAAUCUUGAGGCCUUACAUCACAACAACUUGUUAAUUUGAACUGAGAUUCAGUGGUUUAGCGCCAAACGUACUGCAGCAGGACAG